Molecule: unclassified non-coding RNA, 403 nt
Filed under: uncultured Acaulospora
Lineage: Eukaryota; Fungi; Glomeromycota; Glomeromycetes; Diversisporales; Acaulosporaceae
Description: sequence contains ITS1
Rfam family: 5.8S ribosomal RNA (bases 1-105)
Source: RNAcentral
GAAAUGCGAUAAGUAAUGUGAAUUGCAGAAUUCCGUGAAUCAUCAAAUCUUUGAACGCAUAUUGCACUUCUUGGUAUUCCGAGGAGUAUAUCUGUUUGAGAAUAAGUAUUAAACAUCAAAAUUAAAUUUGUUUUUAAUUUUGUAUUUGAGGAUUAUAAUUUUUUUUAAAAGUAAUCCUUUAAAUAGAUUUAAACGUUUUAGAAUCAAAUGGUAUACUAAAACUGAAAGCAUGACCAAUGAAGUUUUUUUUACUUCUAAAAGAUUGCGAAAAGUUUUUAAUAGUAUUCCGUAAAAAAGUUUGAUUAUUAAAAUGUUUCUUUUUUUAAAAUAUUACGAAAAAGUUUUUAAAAAAACUUUUUUAAGACUCGAUCUCAAAUCAGAUAAGAUUACCCGCUGAACUUAA